CCAGACUCCUACGGGAGGCAGCAGUGGGGAAUAUUGGACAAUGGACCAAGAGUCUGAUCCAGCAAUUCUGUGUGCACGAUGAAGUUUUUCGGAAUGUAAAGUGCUUUCAGUUGGGAAGAAAAAAAUGACGGUACCAACAGAAGAAGUGACGGCUAAAUACGUGCCAGCAGCCGCGGUAAUACGUAUGUCACGAGCGUUAUCCGGAUUUAUUGGGCGUAAAGCGCGUCUAGGUGGUUAUGUAAGUCUGAUGUGAAAAUGCAGGGCUCAACUCUGUAUUGCGUUGGAAACUGUAUAACUAGAGUACUGGAGAGGUAAGCGGAACUACAAGUGUAGAGGUGAAAUUCGUAGAUAUUUGUAGGAAUGCCGAUGGGGAAGCCAGCUUACUGGACAGAUACUGACGCUAAAGCGCGAAAGCGUGGGUAGCAAACAGGAUUAGAUACCCUGGUAGUCCACGCUGUAAACGAUGAUUACUAGGUGUUGGGGGUCGAACCUCAGCGCCCAAGCAAACGCGAUAAGUAAUCCGCCUGGGGAGUACGUACGCAAGUAUGAAACUCAAAGGAAUUGACGGGGGCCCGCACAAG
RNAcentral lists this ribosomal RNA (581 nucleotides) under uncultured bacterium. RNAcentral's name for it is "bacterial SSU rRNA". It matches the Rfam family "Bacterial small subunit ribosomal RNA", at positions 331 to 929 of the family's 1533-position model. The record is from RNAcentral.